UACAUUAAAUAACACACACAAUAAACACACACGCUCAAGACAGGUCAAAUACAAAAGCAUAUAUUAUAACAAAAAAAUUCAAUUCAGUUUGGGUUCAGUUUAGAAUUAUUGAAAAAGCACAAAAGAAAAGAAAACCACUUAGGCUACUCACUCUCACGACCCUGUUAGUCAUUCAGUUGGCCAGUCUAGUCCAGUCAGCCUGGAAAUCCUCAUCGACGCUGUCCUCUUGAAAGAUUUCAAGGAUCCUCUUCUGCUGUUGACAGCUUCACUGCAGUGGGAUAGCAUGGCUUUAGUUGGGCCACAUUUACGACACGGAUGUCCUCUCCUCACCUCAAAUUUAAGAGGUCCAACUCUCUUGGUCACCGGAUACUGACAUUUCCACCGUGGAGCCAGCUUUGCUGGAAAUGACUGGUUGCAAAAUGUUUGGGAAGGUAGUUCAGUUAUGUAUGCAGGACAGUGUGGACCACAUAACUGGACUCAACUCCACAUCAAGAGGCCUUUUCAAUGGGCGGCAGAGGUUGAGUUUGGCAGGGGUGCCUCCUUAGGACUGAUGUACUGCUGUGUUGAGUGCAAACCUGAAUUUGGGUUUCCUCAAAGUCAGACGACAUAAACUGAGAGCCUUGGUUGGACAGAAUGAAAGUGAAGAUUCCCCAGUAUGUCAGGAUCUCUUUCCUGAAAACUUGAGAUAGCGUCUCUGCAGUGGUUGUCCAAAGUGGGAACAUGUCAACCCAUCGGCUAGUCUUCCACAAAAAUCAGGUAACUAUUGCCAUUUGAGCUCCGCAGGAAGGGACAUAUUAUAUCAACCCCAAACAUCUCCCAUGGUGCAUUUAUCACUGUUUGCUGGAGUUAAGCUGGAGGUUUUCUGGUUUCAGGACUCCCUCACAUCAAAGCUCAUCUUUGACCACUAUGUCAGAGCCUGUAACCGUUUGUAAGUUUUAUACCUUCCAAGAUGGCCAGAUAGAGGUUCAUCGUGAUAACAGUAGAGCAGCUCUUGUUGGAGAGAGGUUGAUAUGAUGAUGAUGAUGAGAUCUGGUAGAGGGUUAUAGUGGGGCAAGUGCACUACUCUGUACAGUUUGUCCUUCGGAACAGUGAACUGUGUGGUUGAACUCUCAGUGAUUUCUCCUGUUUCCAUUAUUUUUUCAUAAAGAUCCUGUAUGGCAGAGUCCUCCUGCUGAGCUUUCCAAAUUUCUGCAUCUGUGAUGUGGAGGUUCUUGGACAGCAAGGCAUUCCUGUUCAGUUGUGGAGUAGUUACACUCUGCCUGAUUGAAAGUUCAGCUGGCAAAAGCAAGGACCUGCUCUGCCCCCAAUCCAGUAUGCUGAACCAUGCUGUUGUUCCAGUAUACAAAGCAGAUCCUUCCAUGCAGGUCUCCAAGGACAAACUCUAUCAGCCGUUGAAAUGUUGUCAGGGUGUUUUUUUGUCCCAACAGCAUUACCUUAAACUAGUAGAGGCCAAGGGGACAGAUGAAGUCGGUUUGCUCAAGACUGUCUUUAUCCAU
Mugil cephalus (flathead mullet) is the source of this 1496-nucleotide long non-coding RNA. RefSeq lists it as uncharacterized. The record is from RefSeq and is a predicted model, not a curated record. The transcript has 3 exons. NCBI's taxonomy places the organism in Eukaryota, Metazoa, Chordata, Actinopteri, Mugiliformes, Mugilidae.